GGAUUAGAUACCCUGGUAGUCCACGCCGUAAACGAUGAGAACUAGAUGUUGGGAGGGUUUGCCUCUCGGUGUCGCAGCUAACGCGUUAAGUUCUCCGCCUGGGGAGUACGCCGGCAACGGUAAAACUCAAAGGAAUUGACGGGGACCCGCACAAGCGGUGGAGCAUGUGGUUUAAUUCGAUGCAACGCGAAGAACCUUACCUGCCCUUGACAUCCUCGGAACUUGUCAGAGAUGACUUGGUGCCUUCGGGAACCGAGUGACAGGUGCUGCAUGGCUGUCGUCAGCUCGUGCCG
This 293-nucleotide ribosomal RNA is filed under the name uncultured bacterium. Its description in RNAcentral is "partial 16S ribosomal RNA". It matches the Rfam family "Bacterial small subunit ribosomal RNA", at positions 775 to 1067 of the family's 1533-position model. The record is from RNAcentral.